This 701-nucleotide ribosomal RNA is filed under the name Triticum aestivum (bread wheat). RNAcentral describes it as "partial small subunit ribosomal RNA". The record is from RNAcentral. Lineage: Eukaryota; Viridiplantae; Streptophyta; Magnoliopsida; Poales; Poaceae.
GUAUAUUAUCCGAAAUACUAACAAGCCGCGUUCUUAAAUAUUUGUCUUUCUAAAGAUUUCAACAAAUGACUAUAUACGAAGCAAAAUGAGUGAAUCUACGCUCUCAAAUAUAUCUAUAUACAUCCGUAUGUGAUAGCCAUUUGAAAUCUCUAAAAAAACAAAUGUUUAGGAAGGAAGAGAGUAUAAUAUAAUGAGGAAGGAUUGUGGCCUCUGCUAUGUAUGAGCAUUACUAAUCACAGGAGGACAUGUGCGGGAUUAUGGGCUAAUUUGCAUGCACCAUAAUUAGAGGGUGCCAAUUGGGGCAUUAUUAAGCCGCUAAUACAAUCAAACGACUGUUGCGAGGCCGGGCGUCGGAGCAAACCAAGAGCCGGGAGCGCACGGCGCGCCCUCGACGGACACACCGCCAACAGCUGCAUCUAGGUGCGGCCCCACUUCACCACACCACCAGCCCUGCCCCGGCGCACUCCAGGAGGCCUCGGCGCGGAGAGGCGUGAGAUCGUCAAUGGGGGAAUCAGGGGCGGGAGGGCGGAUCCGUGCUCGCUCGAUCUGGCGCCAUGGUCCCUGGGGGAUUGCAUGUGGAGUGGAGGAGGGAAGAGAAUGGGAGUAUGUAUGUGGCAGUGUGGGGGUGUGGAUAGAGCACGAGUGCAUGUGUGUGGCUAGAGUGAGCACGGAGGGAACUGGGGGCGGGGCGGAGAAUCCAC